RNAcentral lists this ribosomal RNA (481 nucleotides) under uncultured bacterium. RNAcentral's name for it is "partial 16S ribosomal RNA". It matches the Rfam family "Bacterial small subunit ribosomal RNA", at positions 28 to 507 of the family's 1533-position model. The record is from RNAcentral.
GACGAACGUUGGCGGCGUGCUUAAUACAUGCAAGUCAACUGAAGCAGUGGUAGCAAUAUCGCUGUGGAGGUGGCGCACGGGUGAGUAACACGUAGGUAAUCUGCCUUCAGGUCUGGCAUAACUCCGGGAAACCGGGGCUAAUAGCAGAUGAUGCAGCGGCUCGACAUCGAGACAGUUGUUAAAGCUAUGGCGCCUGAAGAUGAGCCUGCGUCUGAUUAGCUAGUUGGCGGGGUAACGGCCCACCAAUGCAACGAUCAGUAGCUGGUCUGAGAGGAUGAUCAGCCACACUGGAACUGAGACACGGUCCAGACUCCUACGGGAGGCAGCAGUAAGGAAUAUUGCUCAAUGGGAGAAAUCCUGAAGCAGCAACGCCGCGUGAGGGACGAAGGGCUUUUGCUUGUAAACCUCUGUAGUGAGAGAAAAAAAUCCCAAUCUUUGGGACAUGAUGGUAUCUCAAAAGUAAGCCCCGGCUAACUACGUG